This 512-nucleotide ribosomal RNA is filed under the name uncultured bacterium. Its description in RNAcentral is "partial 16S ribosomal RNA". It matches the Rfam family "Bacterial small subunit ribosomal RNA", at positions 28 to 507 of the family's 1533-position model. The record is from RNAcentral.
GAUGAACGCUGGCGGCGUGCCUAAUACAUGCAAGUCGAACGAAACUUCUUUAUCACCGAGUGCUUGCACUCACCGAUAAAGAGUUGAGUGGCGAACGGGUGAGUAACACGUGGGCAACCUGCCCAAAAGAGGGGGAUAACACUUGGAAACAGGUGCUAAUACCGCAUAACCAUAGUUACCGCAUGGUAACUAUGUAAAAGGUGGCUAUACUACCGCUUUUGGAUGGGCCCGCGGCGCAUUAGCUAGUUGGUAGGGUAAAGGCUUACCAAGGCAAUGAUGCGUAGCCGAAUUGAGAGGUUGAUCGGCCACAUUGGGACUGAGACACGGCCCAAACUCCUACGGGAGGCAUCAGUAGGGAAUCUUCCACAAUGGGCGAAAGCCUGAUGGAGCAACGCCGCGUGGGUGAAGAAGGUCUUCGGAUCGUAAAACCCUGUUGUUAGAGAAGAAAGUGCGUGAGAGUAACUGUUCACGUUUCGACGGUAUCUAACCAGAAAGCCACGGCUAACUACGUG